GCUUACGGCACCCUCCCUGAGCACGCCCGAUCUCGUCUGAUCUCGGAAGCUAAGCAGGUCGGGCCCGUUAGUACUUGGAUGGGAGACCGCCUGGGAAUACCAGUGCUGUAAGCC
This 114-nucleotide ribosomal RNA is filed under the name Esox lucius (northern pike). The record is from RNAcentral. Lineage: Eukaryota; Metazoa; Chordata; Actinopteri; Esociformes; Esocidae.